CCUCCGUCAACCCCUGGAUUUCCGUGUCCAACUUUAACUGUCCGUCUUAUAUGAAAUUUUUUUAUAAUUCGUAUUUUCAUUGUUGUUAGAUGAUAAAACAUGAUUAAUAUUUUAUACGUGACUUGUCUUUUUAAUUUUUUUUCAUAUUUUUUUUAAAUAAGACGAACGGUCAAACGUUGGACAUAGAAAAUUAUGAUUUAUCUUUUU
This is a non-coding RNA of Oryza nivara, 207 nucleotides long. Lineage: Eukaryota; Viridiplantae; Streptophyta; Magnoliopsida; Poales; Poaceae. The record is from Rfam.